UGGGGAAUAUUGCACAAUGGGGGAAACCCUGAUGCAGCGACGCCGCGUGAACGAAGAAGGUAUUCGUAUCGUAAAGUUCUGUCCUAUGGGAAGAUAAUGACAGUACCAUAGAAGAAAGCUCCGGCUAAAUACGUGCCAGCAGCCGCGGUAAUACGUAUGGAGCGAGCGUUGUCCGGCAUUAUUGGGCGUAAAGGGUACGCAGUCGGUUUAAUAAGUCGAAUGUUAAAGAUCGGGGCUCAACCCCGCAAAGCAUUGGAAACUGAUAAACUUGAGUAGUGGAGAGGAAAGUGGAAUUCCUAGUGUAGUGGUGAAAUACGUAGAUAUGAGGAGGAAUACCAGUAGCGAAGGCGACUUUCUGGACACAAACUGACGAUGAGGUACGAAAGCGUGGGGAGCAAACAGG
This 403-nucleotide ribosomal RNA is filed under the name bacterium. RNAcentral's name for it is "partial 16S ribosomal RNA". It matches the Rfam family "Bacterial small subunit ribosomal RNA", at positions 355 to 776 of the family's 1533-position model. The record is from RNAcentral.